This 253-nucleotide ribosomal RNA is filed under the name uncultured bacterium. Its description in RNAcentral is "partial 16S ribosomal RNA". It matches the Rfam family "Bacterial small subunit ribosomal RNA", at positions 524 to 776 of the family's 1533-position model. The record is from RNAcentral.
AACGUAGGUUCCGAGCGUUAUCCGGAUUUACUGGGCGUAAAGCGUGUUCAGGCGGCUCAGCAAGUCGGGCAUGAAAUCUCUCGGCUCAACCGGGAGAGGCUGUCCGAUACUGCUGGGCUUGAGGGCAGUAGAGGGUGGUGGAAUUCCGGGUGUAGUGGUGAAAUGCGCAGAUAUCAGGAAGAACACCAAUGGCGAAGGCAGCUCUCUGGGACGGUACUGACGCUGAGACGCGAAAGCGUGGGGAGCGAACAGG